Molecule: ribosomal RNA, 325 nt
Filed under: uncultured Actinomycetes bacterium
Lineage: Bacteria; Bacillati; Actinomycetota; Actinomycetes
Description: bacterial SSU rRNA
Rfam family: Bacterial small subunit ribosomal RNA
Source: RNAcentral
GACGAACGCUGGCGGCAUGCUUAACACAUGCAAGUGGAGCGACGAACCUUUUAGGGGCAAAGCCGCGAACGGGUGAGUAACACGUGGGCAAUCUGCCCAGUUGACCGGGAUAACCCGAGGAAACUCGAGCUAAUACCGGAUGUGCCAUUCCCUCACAAGAGGGACUGGUAAAGGGAGCUUCGGCUAUCCGCAAUUGGAGGAGCCUGCGGCGCAUUAGCUAGUUGGUGGGGUAAAGGCCUACCAAGGCGACGAUGCGUAGCUGGUCUGAGAGGACGAUCAGCCACACUGGAACUGAGACACGGGUCCAGACUCCUACGGGUGGCUG